CAAUGGGCGAAAGCCUGAUCCAGCAAUGCCGCGUGAGUGAUGAAGGCCUUAGGGUUGUAAAGCUCUUUUACCAGGGAUGAUAAUGACAGUACCUGGAGAAUAAGCUCCGGCUAACUCCGUGCCAGCAGCCGCGGUAAUACGGAGGGAGCUAGCGUUGUUCGGAAUUACUGGGCGUAAAGAGUACGUAGGCGGUGAUUCAAGUCAGAGGUGAAAGCCUGGAGCUCAACUCCAGAACUGCCUUUGAAACUAGAUCGCUAGAAUUGUGGAGAGGUUAGUGGAAUUCCGAGUGUAGAGGUGAAAUUCGUAGAUAUUCGGAAGAACACCAGUGGCGAAGGCGACUAACUGGACACAUAUUGACGCUGAGGUACGAAAGCGUGGGGAGCAAACAGGAUUAGAUACCCUGGUAGUCCACGCCGUAAACGAUGAUAACUAGCUGUUCGGGGUCUACGAUCCUGAGUGGCGCAGCUAACGCAUUAAGUUAUCCGC
RNAcentral lists this ribosomal RNA (486 nucleotides) under alpha proteobacterium wj05. RNAcentral's name for it is "bacterial SSU rRNA". It matches the Rfam family "Bacterial small subunit ribosomal RNA", at positions 369 to 872 of the family's 1533-position model. Lineage: Bacteria; Pseudomonadati; Pseudomonadota; Alphaproteobacteria. The record is from RNAcentral.